GUCAGGAGCCCUAUCUUUUUUGAGCAGGCAGGGUGGUGAACAUGAAUUUUCCCAGCACUUUGCAGGUGGAGGCCAGAGAACCGGGAGUUCAAAGGCAAUCAAUCUAGUUAUGUAGUGAGCUUGAGGCCAGCUAGGCUGGUGGGAGUGGGAGUAGGGAGAUUUCUUGAUAAGACCCUAUCAUUCUUUGACCCCCGAACAGACUGUUUUAAACUUCUCCUACAAAGUGGAGAAUUAUAUUCUGAGUCUUGGCUCAACGAAACAAUGGUAAAUUAUUGAGAAAUACCAGGGGGAUCAAAUCCAAUUGAAAGUAUGAAUACGGUCCUAUUUGUCAUUCCCUGGGGUUGCAGUGGGAAGGGACAAGGGCUGAGCUGUGAGGCUGCUGGCUGCUUUCCCUUUAAACUGUUUAUACAACACUUAAGUGCUCACGUCUCAGAAAGCAGGUUCUAACUGGACAUGAAGCUAGGCGAGGCACCAGGCCCUGCUCCUUGAGCAUAUUCAGAUGUCUCCUGCCCUAGAAGGCAGUGUGAUCAUCUUUUUGUAGGGGGUCAUAGGGGCUCUGGUUCUGCUUCUCAGCCUAGGAUUUUGCUAAAAGGGGUCAAGGGAAACCCCAGGUGCCCUACAGCAGAGACCUCAGGCUGUGGGGAAGGCUCUGCUUGUAAAAGCACGUUCCGUUCACUGGGUCCUUCAUGUAGGGCUCCUAAUGGUUUCCCCAUGCAUUCAUAUGUGUAUGUAUGCAUGUAUGUAUGUCUUGUACUGAAACAGGGUCUCAUUUAUCCCAGGCUGGCCUUGAAUUCACUGACGUAACCAUGAAUGACCUUGAAGUUCUGUUUCUAUUGCCUCUUUAUCCUGCGUCUCAUGACUCCUGACCUCCUGUAUGUAGCACUAACUAUGAAACACAGGGCUUGCGUGUCUGGAGGAACUCUAUCAGCCGUGUCCCAUCCAUAGUCAUCCCCCCACCCCCACCUCACUCACUGUCAAAUUAUUUUUACCCUAGUCCAGAAACCAGAAUAGGAAUUUGUACAUUUAUUGACAACCUUCCCGAAGCAUAAAAUAUUUAACAGCUUCAGAUCAUACAACUGGGAAACACACCCACCUUUCAAACUACUACACUAGCUUCCCUCGGGCCACACUGCUGCCUGAACUUCCCGCUGGGCUGCCUGGGAGGACAUCAGGGAAGUAAGUAGUCACCCUUUGCUCUCUAGAUAUCUAAGGGCCAAGGUGACCGACUGGUCCUGCCUGGCAGAAUCACCCAGGGCUGUGGCAGGAAGGUCUAGGCAGCUCACUAGGCCACAAGGGUACUUUAAGGUCAUCUAGUCAGCCGCCCUUUCCUGGCACCUCCUUAAUCUUGUAUGGCUCUCGUGUGUGUGCAGGGACAAGCCCCGCCUCUGGUGCAAAUGCUUGCGACAUAAGGCUAUGUCCAAGCCCAUCUGAAGGUUCCUUAUCCCCCAGCGCUGUAGUCACAGAAGACACAGAUGCUUCAAAGCUCUUCACAGCUCAGACCUGUCUAGACUUAUCAAGUCAGAGGGACAUGUGGCUCUGCGUCACUAGGUCCUCCACAGAGGACAUUAUUCAUUCAGUGGUGGUAACUCAGAGGUCAGAGUCUCAGACCCAGUCUUGGGCCCUCCCUGAUGAAUCUGCGAGCCCGGACGUCUCCCUGGUCUCAGGGCGUGGCUCUGCAGCUAGUCUCUGGCUUCUGGGUUUUUCCACUCUACCAGGCCUCUUACUGCAGCUCUUGCUUGGGGGUAGGUGUGGCAAUUGGGCAUUGAGGAUUUGCUCUGCCAGGAGGCCACACCCCAGCUAUUAAGGUUGCUGGCCUAGAGGCCACCUCCCCAGGUCCCUUAGCCCCAAGCUGAGCUGGCUCUCCAGCACCCAAGACCCUCCUCCCCUCUUCUUAAAGAGGCUGCUUGUCAAGUGCAGAUGGGCCUGAGCUCUGCCAGCAUCUCCAUGACAACCAGAGCUCACAGCUUCCUUCCUGGAUCAAGUGCUUGCACACUCAUAGGGCUUCCUUGUAGACCCGGAGAUUGGCUGUGGCCCCAAGUCCCAGACUCACACACCUUACCAUCACGUGCUUUCAGUAUUUAAGGGGGCUACUCAACAGGUUGCCCUGAAGACCUCAGACCCUGCAGGACUUGUUUGAGGAAGAUCUGAAAUGAGGAAGUUGUUUGCAGAGACAGGAGCUGACACGAGAACAAAUGGGGCAUGACUCCGGAAAGAGCGCGGGUGCGUGUCACCAAUAUUCGUGUCAUACUUAGGCUCUUCAGUGACUCUGCAGUGACCAAGACAGUAGCAGUAAAGACACCGAGAGAAGCAGCUCUCGAAUGGCUUUAGUGGUUGAUUUUAUACAUGCAGUGUUCUGCCUGUGUGUGCUGUGGCCCUUGGUGGAAGGCGUCUGUCUAUUGGAGCUGGAGAUACAAUGACUGCAAGCCACAUGGGCGCUGGGAACCAAACUCAGGCUCUUCGAGAACAACCACUCUCAGCUGCUGAGCCAUCUCUCCAGGACCAGCUUUAAGGCAAUUUCCUUGUUUUUUCAAGACAAGUUUUCUCUGUGUAGCUCUGGCUGCCCUGGAACUUGCCCUGUACACCAGGUUGGCCUGGAAUUCACAGAGAUCCACCCACUUCUGCCUCCCAAGUAGAGGGAUUACAGGUAUUUGGCACCAUUAACCUGGCAUUUUAAGGCAAAAUUUUAAAUGAAUUCUAGGGUUUUUUUUUUUCGGAGCUGGGGACCGAACCCAGGGCCUUGCGCUUCCUAGGCAAGCGCUCUACCACUGAGCUAAAUCCCCAACCCCUUAAAUGAAUUCUAACUAAAGAACAUUUACAAUUGUGGAAAACAGACUCUCUUUAGCAAUUCAGUGUUAAAUGUUCUUUGCAGUGUUAAACUGCAAUCUGAGUGAUUCUGACCUACCUGGGUCCACUCUGCCUCCUUCCUAAGGGAUCAAACCCAGUAUCUGGCACAUGGCUUGCCUAGCAAUUGAGCUAACAAAGUUUCUCUUCCUUUCCCACCCACUUUUGUGGUGCAGGGAAUCAAAUUGGGUCUUCAUACCUACUACUCAGGGCUGUAGGUAUGGUCAGCCUUUUUUGUUUUUAUUUAGUCUCCAAUAUGUGUAGUUCAGUUUUUUUUUCAGGAGUUUUUUCUUUUUCUUUUUAAUAAAAAAUUUUAUUUAUUUUAUAUAUCUGAGUACACUAUUGCUUUCUUUACACCAGAAGAGGGCACCAGAUCCCACUGCAAAUGAUUGUGAGCCACCACGUGGUUGCUGGAAUUGAACUCAGGGCCUCUGGAAGAACAGUCAGUGCUUUUAACAGCUGAGUCAUCUCUCCAGCCCAUUUUUCAUUUUUUUAUUUUUAUUUUUUAAAAAAGAUAGGGGGGUUGGGGAUUUAGCUCAGUGGUAGAGCGCUUGCCUAGGAAGCGCAAGGCCCUGGGUUCGGUCCCCAGCUCCGGAAAAAAAAAAAAAAAAAAAAAAAAAAGAUAGGGUCUCACUUCAUAACUCUGGACACCUUGAACUUCCUUUUUAGACCAGGCUAUCUUCAAAUUCUGGAAUCUGUUCUGGAAUUAAAAAGGCUUUGUCACCAUUGCCAGCUGUGCAUUCCGCCUGGUUGUUUCCAGGAUUCUCUAGCGUGCUGCCUGUAAGGUCCUAUGACCACUGUUUUUAUUACAUAAUUUUUAUACAGGAUCUCACUGUGAAGCUCUGGUUGGCCUGGGGCUUACUGCCUGCCUCAGUCUCCCAAGUGCUGAGAUUAAAGGUGUUCAGUGCCCCACCUGACCCCUGGGCCCAUAAUUUAAUCUUUUCUCCUUUCUUUUUUGCUGCUGAGUGAGUCUUGGACUUCAAGCAUACUAAACAGAUGCUCUGCCCCAAGCUUCUCCGUCUGUCCUGUCUUUCCCUUAAUGUUUGCUCAGAGAGCAAUUUAUAUAGGGAAGCUAGUAUUACUAGUGAUGCUACAAAUACUUUGUUAAUUGCGUCUUAAUAGGCAACAGGAGUUUUAAAUUUUAAGCAUUUGAUGCUAGAGCUCAGGAUGUAAUUUAGUGGUAAGCACUUGUCUGUAUCUCUGGGGCUAACCAUAGGAAUACAAAAAGAGGAAAAAAAAUCCACUGCUAUUUGAUGUCAGUUUUUAUAUUUUAUUGUUAUUUGUGAGUUUGAUCAAUAACAAAUGUAUCAAAUAAACAGCAAGCUGAGUCUGUUUUCGGUCUAGAGGUAGAGUGUUCUAAACUGUAUGCUCAGAGUUAUGCAACUGCCAUGGCUCAGUUUCCUAAUCUACGAAAUGGGUCCUAUGAUCAAUACUUCUCCAUAAAGAACAGGGAGGUUUAAAUGGUGUAUGAAUGCCUAACAGUCACACUAAGCUGGCACAUGGUGAUGCAUGCUUGUUUCUCAGUCAUCACCACAGUAGCUGGUUGUAUUUAGAAUCAGUUCUCACCUUUUCUUCUAGGAAUGGUGUAUUAACAGGAAAGCAAGACCAGAAAUGCCGCAGAAGCUCCCCAACAGCCACAUACAAGUGUUUCAAUUCAGACUGAAUAUCGUUUGGCACCAUCUCUGCAAACAGAAGAAGAGAGCCCUAAGGCAACAGCUAAUCCCACAGUCCAAAAAUGCCCACUCUAGGUGCUGAAUGCAAAGCUCAGAGUGCAGUGCACGCACAGCUUGAAGGAGGUCCAGGUUACCUCCCCUGCCCCUAAACCCAUCCUCACACGCCCACAAACUUUCAGCAGAACAUCCCAACCCACUAAAGAAGAACGAACACAGCGCUGCUGAGCUGUCUCUCAUGCUAAGCCCGGCAACCUGAGCUCAGGGAUCACAGAGGAGAGAACUGACCUCUGUAAGUUGCUUUCUGACCUCACGUGCUAUGACCUCCACAUGUGCCAGGGCACUGCCAACUUCCUCACCCCCCAUAAAGAAAUUUAGUAAUUAGAAGACAAGCCAGCACAGCCUUAGCACUAACUGAAGCAAAGAGGAAAAGGGAGGUGGCCCACCACGUACGGUUUACUGCUUGCUGUGUCCCUCCCUGCAUAAGUGCUCCUCCAGGUGACAGGGCUGUGAUGGUGCUACUAGCAGCGCUGCUUGAGAGAACCUGAAAGAAACGAGUCAGGAACUGACUUAGUCCCCCUUUGCAUCUGCCUUAAUACUUGUUUUACUCCUAUGCAAAUACACUAUAUACAGCAACCAGAAUCAACAACUUUUCUUGAGGCUAGAAAUAGUCCAUGUAGAAAACUCCUCUGGGGGCUGGAGCAAGCACUGACUGCUCUUCUGAGGUCCUGAGUUUUCAAUUCCCAGCAACCACAUGGUGGCUCACAACCAUCUGUAAUAGGAUCUGAUGCCCUCUUCUGGUGUGUCUGAAGACAGCUACAUAUGAGUAUAUGAAUAAAAUAAGUCUUUUUUUUUUUCCGGAGCUGGGGAUCGAACCCAGGGCCUUGCGCUUGCUAGGCAAGCGCUCUACCACUGAGCUAAAUCCCCAACCCCAAAAUAAGUCUUAAAAAAAAAGAAAGAAAGAAAACUCCUCUGCUAGGAAUAUAGUAGACUCCAUGACAGAGAUCGGACUCUUUGGAGCUGAGUUAAAAGUGGCUGUGAGCUACCUCUGUGGGUUCUAGAAGCCAAAUGUGAAUCUUUUGAAACAAGAACAGCACACACUAUUAGUUUCUGAACCACUUAACCUCUCUGCCUCCUAUAACUUUGAUUUCUGAGGCUUUAGUUAACUAUACUAAGAUACUUCAGUUUGCCAAGCUUGACAACCUAAAGUCAACCUCUGGAACCCAUAUACUAGACAAAACCAAGUUGUCCUGUAUGCUUCGAGUUCUACAAUGCUUUGGCUAUCAGUUUCCUAAUCUUUGGGUCUGAGUUUCACACAAUUACUUACCUAUGGCUCCUACUCCACUAUAUAUUUUCCUGAAAAUGGCUCACAAAACCCAAUAUAAAAAGCAACGAAAUGUUCAGUUGUACAGUUCAACUGGCUAUGUUUACAACCUGAAGUAGUAGCUAUAAGAAUUCUGGCCUUAAAACAGUGGAUCACCUACCUGAGUUAACUUGGGUGUAUAAGCUUCCAUUUCUUGUCUAAUACUUUGAAAAGAAUUAAUAAUGUCCUGACUUGUUGCAUACUGUAGUGACUGAAUUGGAGUAGGACCAUGAUAAUACCUGGAGAUUAGCACAGAAGUAACAAAUUAUAAAGGGCUCAAUAUCUGUCUUACAAAUAUUUAGCAACAACAAAACAUUCCCUCACAGCAAAAGUGAUACUACACUUAAGGGAAUGUAAAGCUAUUUAGUUUCCUGUUUAUGUGAGUACACUGUCACUGUCCUCAGACACACCAGAACAGGGCAUCGGAUCCCAGUACAGGUGGUUGUGAGGUGCUAGGAAUUGAACCCAGGUCUUCUGUCAGAGUAGUCAGUGCUCUUAAGCACUGAGCUAUCUCUCCAGCCCGUUUUAUUUUCAUUAUUAUUAGUUGUUAUGUGGUAGUAGGCAGGUAUGGGCAUGUGGGGGCAGAUGCUUGUAGAACCUAAAUAUUGGAUCCCUGGAGGUGGCUUCCUAGAUAGCUGUAAGCCACUUUUGGGUGUUUGAAAUCAAAGUAGGGUCCUCUGCAAGAUCACCAUGAGUUCUUUGCCACUGAGCCAUCUCUCCAGCUCUUGUAAUUUAAUUUCCUUUUCUUAAUUUAUUUUAUAUAAGUACACUGUAGCUGUCUUCAGACACACCACAGCUACAGUAUAUUCAUAUAAAUAAAAAUGAAUAAAAAAAAAAAGCAUGAAAAUCCAAACUCUGAGGACCUACUGCUACACCAGAUGACCUAAGCUGGGUUCCAAGUGGACGGAGGGAACUGAUCCCAAGCUGACCCUGACUUCCAUACUUGCUGUGACACAUGCAUAUAAACCACGUAAUAAAAAUUAGUUCUCUUGGGCUAGAGAGAUGGCUCAGUGGUUAAGAGCACUGACUGCUCUUCCAGAGAUCCUGAGUUCAAUUCCCAGCAACUACACGGUGGCUCACAACCAUCUGUAAUGGGAUCUGAUGCCCCCUUCUGGUGUGUCUGAAGACAGUGUACUCACAUACAUAAAAUAAUCUUAAAAAAAAAAAUUGUUUUCUUGUCUUUAGUCAUGUAGGAUACAUUCCAGGCAUGUAUAAAAGUUAAAAAAAAAAGAUUUAUUUUAUGAACGUUUUGCCUGUAUAUAUAUAUAUAUCUGUAUCACUUACAUGCCUCGUGUCAGGAGGGAGUUGGAUUCCCUGGAAUUGGAGUUCUGAAUGAGUCUUAUUAGCUCAGGCUACCCUUUAAUUUGCUGUACAACUGAGGAUAUCCUUGAACUACUGCUCCUCCUCCUAAAGUCACAGUUGCACACAAUUAUACCAAGUUCGUAAAGCAAACUUUUAAGGAAAUUUGUGUAUUGCACGUUUACGGCAACAAACUGACUGUAGCCUUGCAGAGGUACACACACUCUGCACUGACUGCUGCGUAAGAAUUUCGCUUCAGUCAGCCAAACUCACCUGUCUGACUUCUUGAGAUUCAGUGCAAUCGUUUUCACAGAAUUGUUGUUUCCCAAGUCUUCAUAUUCAAUGGAUUCCUGUAACUUUGCCUGCAAUUAAUGACAUGCAAGGUAUUUUUGUUGGAAACUGACUGAAAUUUCAGAGCAUAAAAAAUAAAGCCCGUCUACUGUGGCUAAGCCAGCGUUCUCACCAAUAACCAACACGAAUACUGGUUCCUACACUGUGGUUAUGUGAUUAUAUAUAAAAACCUUUUUUUUUUUAAUUUUUUUUUUUUUUUUUGAGACAAAGUUUCUCUGUGUAGCCCUGACUGUCCUGGAUUACUCUGUAGACCAGGCUGCUUUUGAACUCAGAGAUUCACCUGCCUCUGCCUCCUGAAGGCAUAGGCCACCAUACUUGGACUUUUUUAUUUUAAAGCAUGAGUGAUAUGUAGUUUAUGAGACAAAGACCUUUGAUCCUUCUGCCUGCUGAAGGCUAGGAUUAUGGGUAUACACUACCGUAUCUGAUGGUGUGAGCUCUUUUUGAAGGAAUGUAGACAUCCUCUAUUUUAAAUUGGUCAUACAUAUCCUGCUAUUACAAGCUGAAAAUACUGUACAUUGAAAUGCGUUUUAAGUCCGAUAACGCUAUCAUAAACAUAAGUAAUUGUAAGAUGGGGCACAUCUGUAUGUCACAGUGUUUUGUAAUUUAUUGUUUGGUGCGGGGAACUGAACCCAGCACCUGUGACUCUUCAGUAAGCUAUUUCCACUAAGCUAUACUAUCUCAUCUAAAUCUUUGCAUACCACGCCCUCCUUUCCUUAAAUGUGUAGAAAUGGAAGAGUGUAAACCUCUAAACUUUACAUAUGUACUGCCUGUCAGGUGUCUAAGUGUAUUCUUCCUACAAAUGGGGAAGAGAGACUUAGAAAAAAAUGAAGUUCAGCAAGCAGCUACUUCUAUCUACACUUCCUCAAAUGACUUUUUAGAGAGAUGUUUUCAUCUACAAAAUACCAGUUAAGAAAAUAUAGAAUCGGGCUGGAGAGAUGGCUCAGCGGUUAAGAGCACCCGACUGCUCUUCCAGAGGUCAUGAGUUCAAUUCCCAGCAACCACAUGGUGGCUCACAACCAUCUGUAAAGAGAUCUGAUGCCCUCUUCUGGUGUAUCUGAAGACAGCUACAGUGUACUUAUAUAUAAUAAAUAAAUAAAUCUUUAAAAAAAAAAAAAAAAGAAAA
Molecule: long non-coding RNA, 8647 nt
Organism: Rattus norvegicus (Norway rat)
Lineage: Eukaryota; Metazoa; Chordata; Mammalia; Rodentia; Muridae
Source: RefSeq, a predicted model, not a curated record